This is a long non-coding RNA of Hemibagrus wyckioides, 654 nucleotides long. RefSeq lists it as uncharacterized. Lineage: Eukaryota; Metazoa; Chordata; Actinopteri; Siluriformes; Bagridae. The record is from RefSeq and is a predicted model, not a curated record. The transcript has 3 exons.
GCGGUCAUUAAAAAAACCGAAGUUUACUUUAAUAAUUUCUAGCAGGCACAAGGCGGUAGCCUAAUAAUACCCGUGAUUUUAAAACGUUAUUUAACAAGGCGUGCAUUACUUACAGUUUGCCAUUAUUAAACAUUCUUCAAGAAUAUGCUUAUUUAUUGAAAGAGUCUCCAGUGUUAAGGCUUUGUAACUGUUAGCCUUCUACUAUGGGAAAGUCUUCAGGAUCUCAGUAACAUGAUCAGCAGCAUUAUUUAUGUCUUAUUAACAUCAAGAGAGAGAGAGAGAGCGAGAACACGAGAUCAUUUAUCCUACACAGGGUCACAGGGAGUCUGGAGACUACCCCAGGGGAUUCUGGGAGCAAGGCAGAGGACACCCUGGACAGGACGCCAACCAAUCACAGGGCACAGUCACACACUACAGAUCAUUUAGACAUGACAUGUAGUGCAUGUCUUUGGGAUGGGGAGGAAACCCGAGAACACAGAGCAUAUGGAGAACAUGCAAGUUCUACACACACAUAUGCCAGAGGUGAAAAACAGAUACCUUUCUCUGUAUGCAGCUGAAAGACAUGAUAAAGUCAGCAUAUGCACGAAAGCCCAAGGGAUUGGAAAGGACCAUGAUGUCAGGUGCAUGACAGACCAUUUUGGACCUGAAGGCCUG